RNAcentral lists this RNase P RNA (375 nucleotides) under Planctomycetaceae bacterium. RNAcentral describes it as "RNase P RNA component class A". It matches the Rfam family "Bacterial RNase P class A". Rfam says of the family: Ribonuclease P (RNase P) is a ubiquitous endoribonuclease, found in archaea, bacteria and eukarya as well as chloroplasts and mitochondria. Its best characterised activity is the generation of mature 5'-ends of tRNAs by cleaving the 5'-leader elements of precursor-tRNAs. The record is from RNAcentral. Lineage: Bacteria; Pseudomonadati; Planctomycetota; Planctomycetia; Planctomycetales; Planctomycetaceae.
GAAGUGAACUGGAUGACCGCUGGCGCGACAGUCAAGCGCGAGAGGAAAGUCCGGGCUCCACAGGACAGGGUGGUCGGUAACACCGACCGGUUGUGAAGCCAGGGAAAGUGCCACAGAGAAUAGACCGCCGAUGACCGUGAACGCGGAACAGGCAAGGGUGAAACGGUGCGGUAAGAGCGCACCAGCAGACGGGGCGACCCGCCUGGCUUGGCAAACCCCACCCGGAGCAAGGCCAAACAGGAAGCAGAUUUAGUUCGAAUCGCUAUCGACUUCCGGGUAGGCCGCAUGAGACGCCGAGCAAUCGGCGCCCUAGAUAAAUGGCCAUCAACCGUGACGCCACGGUUACAGAACCCGGCUUACAGGUUCACUUCGUUU